This 518-nucleotide ribosomal RNA is filed under the name uncultured fungus. RNAcentral's name for it is "SSU rRNA". It matches the Rfam family "Eukaryotic small subunit ribosomal RNA", at positions 214 to 732 of the family's 1831-position model. The record is from RNAcentral. Lineage: Eukaryota; Fungi.
AUAAAAAACCAAUGCCCUUCGGGACUCCUUGGUGAUUCAUAAUAACUUAACGAAUCGCAUGGCCUUGUGCCGGCGAUGGUUCAUUCAAAUUUCUGCCCUAUCAACUUUCGAUGGUAGGAUAGUGGCCUACCAUGGUUUCAACGGGUAACGGGGAAUUAGGGUUCUAUUCCGGAGAGGGAGCCUGAGAAACGGCUACCACAUCCAAGGAAGGCAGCAGGCGCGCAAAUUACCCAAUCCCGACACGGGGAGGUAGUGACAAUAAAUACUGAUACAGGGCUCUUUUGGGUCUUGUAAUUGGAAUGAGUACAAUUUAAAUCCCUUAACGAGGAACAAUUGGAGGGCAAGUCUGGUGCCAGCAGCCGCGGUAAUUCCAGCUCCAAUAGCGUAUAUUAAAGUUGUUGCAGUUAAAAAGCUCGUAGUUGAACCUUGGGCCUGGUUGGUCGGUCCGCCUCACCGCGUGCACUGAUCCGACCGGGUCUUUCCUUCUGGGGAGCCGCAUGCCCUUCACUGGGUGUGUC